This 468-nucleotide ribosomal RNA is filed under the name uncultured bacterium. RNAcentral's name for it is "partial 16S ribosomal RNA". It matches the Rfam family "Bacterial small subunit ribosomal RNA", at positions 28 to 507 of the family's 1533-position model. The record is from RNAcentral.
GACGAACGCUGGCGGCGUGCUUAACACAUGCAAGUCGAACGGAAAGGCCCUGCUUUUGUGGGGUGCUCGAGUGGCGAACGGGUGAGUAACACGUGAGUAACCUGCCCUUGACUUUGGGAUAACUUCAGGAAACUGGGGCUAAUACCGGAUAGGAGCUCCUGCUGCAUGGUGGGGGUUGGAAAGUUUCGGCGGUUGGGGAUGGACUCGCGGCUUAUCAGCUUGUUGGUGGGGUAGUGGCUUACCAAGGCUUUGACGGGUAGCCGGCCUGGGAGGGGGACCGGCCACAUCGGGCCUGAGAUACGGCCCAGACUCGUACGGGAGGCAGCAGUGGGGAGUAUUGCACAAUGGGCGGAAGGCUGAUGCAGUAACGCAGCGUGGGGGAUGACGGGCUUGGGUUUGUAAACCGCUGUCGCCUGUGACGAAGCGUGAGUGACGGUAAUGGGUAAAGAGGCACCGGCUAACUACGUG